AUUGAACGCUGGCGGCAGGCCUAACACAUGCAAGUCGAGCGGAUGAAGGGAGCUUGCUCCUGGAUUCAGCGGCGGACGGGUGAGUAAUGCCUAGGAAUCUGCCUGGUAGUGGGGGAUAACGUCCGGAAACGGGCGCUAAUACCGCAUACGUCCUGAGGGAGAAAGUGGGGGAUCUUCGGACCUCACGCUAUCAGAUGAGCCUAGGUCGGAUUAGCUAGUUGGUGGGGUAAAGGCCUACCAAGGCGACGAUCCGUAACUGGUCUGAGAGGAUGAUCAGUCACACUGGAACUGAGACACGGUCCAGACUCCUACGGGAGGCAGCAGUGGGGAAUAUUGGACAAUGGGCGAAAGCCUGAUCCAGCCAUGCCGCGUGUGUGAAGAAGGUCUUCGGAUUGUAAAGCACUUUAAGUUGGGAGGAAGGGCAGUAAGUUAAUACCUUGCUGCUUUGACGUUACCAACAGAAUAAGCACCGGCUAACUACGUG
Molecule: ribosomal RNA, 484 nt
Filed under: uncultured bacterium
Lineage: Bacteria
Description: partial 16S ribosomal RNA
Rfam family: Bacterial small subunit ribosomal RNA
Source: RNAcentral